CAUGCCGUAAACGAUGAUUACUAGGUGUGGGGGGUCUGACCCCUUCCGUGCCGGAGUUAACACAAUAAGUAAUCCACCUGGGGAGUACGACCGCAAGGUUGAAACUCAAAGGAAUUGACGGGGGCCCGCACAAGCAGUGGAGUAUGUGGUUUAAUUCGAAGCAACGCGAAGAACCUUACCAGGUCUUGACAUCCAACGGAUCCUGUAGAGAUACGGGAGUGCCCUUCGGGGAACGUUGAGACAGGUGG
RNAcentral lists this ribosomal RNA (248 nucleotides) under uncultured bacterium. Its description in RNAcentral is "partial 16S ribosomal RNA". It matches the Rfam family "Bacterial small subunit ribosomal RNA", at positions 796 to 1041 of the family's 1533-position model. The record is from RNAcentral.